AGUGAACGCUGGCGGUAGGCCUAACACAUGCAAGUCGAACGGCAGCACAGUAAGAGCUUGCUCUUACGGGUGGCGAGUGGCGGACGGGUGAGGAAUACAUCGGAAUCUACUUUUUCGUGGGGGAUAACGUAGGGAAACUUACGCUAAUACCGCAUACGACCUACGGGUGAAAGCAGGGGAUCUUCGGACCUUGCGCGAUUGAAUGAGCCGAUGUCGGAUUAGCUAGUUGGCGGGGUAAAGGCCCACCAAGGCGACGAUCCGUAGCUGGUCUGAGAGGAUGGUCAGCCACACUGGAACUGAGACAGGGUCCAGAGUCCUACGGGAGGCAGCAGUGGGGAAUAUUGGACAAUGGGCGCAAGCCUGAUCCAGCCAUACCGCGUGGGUGAAGAAGGCCUUCGGGUUGUAAAGCCCUUUUGUUGGGAAAGAAAAGCAGCAGGUUAAUACCCCGCUGUUCUGACGGUACCCAAAGAAGAAGCACCGGCUAACUUCGUG
Molecule: ribosomal RNA, 492 nt
Filed under: uncultured bacterium
Lineage: Bacteria
Description: partial 16S ribosomal RNA
Rfam family: Bacterial small subunit ribosomal RNA
Source: RNAcentral